Molecule: non-coding RNA, 148 nt
Filed under: Homo sapiens (human)
Lineage: Eukaryota; Metazoa; Chordata; Mammalia; Primates; Hominidae
Source: Rfam by way of RNAcentral
GCCAGGUAUGGUGGUGCACACCUGUAAUCCCAGUUACUUGGGAGGCUGAGGCAGGAGAAUCACUUGAACCCGGGAGGUGGAGGUUGCAGUGAGCCAAGAUGGUGCCACUGCACUCCAGCCUGGGUGACAGAGGGAGACUCUGUCUCAA